AGUACUGGACCCAUCACAAUUUCAAUACUGGGAAGAGAAAAGCCAGUCCUCUGGGGAAAGAUGAAGCACUGGACCUACAAACUAACUACUUUCAACCCCUGGAUGAAUCUAGGAGCAGAUUAGUCCCGAUAUCAAGGCAAUGUCAAGAGUGAAGGGGAGGAUCAAGAUUUUUUUUGAGUGAUUGUUUCCUGGAAGGAGUAUUAAAGAGAGGCACAGAAGAAUGCUUCUGCAUAGGACAUGAAAACAUACUUGGUAAUCAGCGAUCAUGUGGUAGCAGCCACA
RNAcentral lists this long non-coding RNA (282 nucleotides) under Homo sapiens (human). RNAcentral describes it as "HSALNT0377464". The record is from RNAcentral. Lineage: Eukaryota; Metazoa; Chordata; Mammalia; Primates; Hominidae.